UUCUCAGUUCGGAUCGGAGUCUGNAACCCGACUCCGUGAAGCUGGAUUCGCUAGUAAUCGCGCAUCAGCCAUGGCGCGGUGAAUACGUUCCCGGGCCUUGUACACACCGCCCGUCAAGCCAUGGAAGCCGGGGGCGCUUGAAGUGCGUUGCCGCAAGGCGCGCCCUAGAGCGAAACCGGUGACUGGGGCUAAGUCGUAACAAGGUACC
RNAcentral lists this ribosomal RNA (208 nucleotides) under uncultured bacterium. RNAcentral describes it as "partial 16S ribosomal RNA". It matches the Rfam family "Bacterial small subunit ribosomal RNA", at positions 1285 to 1500 of the family's 1533-position model. The record is from RNAcentral.